GACGAACGCUGGCGGCGGGCUUAACACAUGCAAGUCGAACGGAAGGGCCCUGCUUUUUUGGGUUGCCGGGGUGGCAAAGGGGUGAGGAACAGGUGAGUAACGUGCCCUUGUUUUUGGGUGAACUUAAGGAAAGGGGGGUUAAUACCGGAUAGGAGCCCCUGUUCCAGUGUGGGGGUGGGAUAUUUGGUGCUGUCGGGGAUGGACGCGCGGGUGUCCGGCUUGUUGGUUGGGUAGGGGAUUGCCAAGGCUUUGACGGGUACCCGGCUUGUGUGGGUGAACGGCCACAUUGGGCCUGAGAUACGGACCAGACUCGUACGGGAGGCAGCAGUGGGGAAUAUUGCACAAUGGGAGGAAGCCUGAUGAAGAGGCGCCGCGUGCGGGAUGACGGCCUUCGGGUUGUAAACCGCUUUAGCCUGUGACGAAGCGUGAGUGACGGUAAUGGGUAAAGAAGCACCGGCUAACUACGUG
RNAcentral lists this ribosomal RNA (468 nucleotides) under uncultured bacterium. RNAcentral's name for it is "partial 16S ribosomal RNA". It matches the Rfam family "Bacterial small subunit ribosomal RNA", at positions 28 to 507 of the family's 1533-position model. The record is from RNAcentral.